UAGUCACAACCAAAAGCUUCUAGCAAAAUAUUUACGAGGCAAAAUAAUAUAUAGCAUCUUUACAAGUCAAUUCCAAUUCCAACUAUAAAAACACAGUCUAAACUAUAAUGGAAUCCAAAAUAAAAAGCCCAGCCAAGUUCCAAAAUUUUGAUAAGACUAGUUUCAUUACAUAUUUCUCCUUAGUCACAGGAUGGAUCCAGCCUUUUGUAUCCCUGUAAUGUAUGUGCUUCCAUAGCUUAAUUCACAAAAAUGUAUUGGAAUAUGAAGCUCCUAUUGUAAGCAACCAAGAUCAGAAUACUGGCAACUUAGAUCAUUAAGGAUACGCGUACAUGUCAAUGAAACAUUCAAUAUAUGGAAGAGUGACUUUCCAAUCUGUAGUCGAUAGAAAAUGAAGUGAGUGACAUUUCAUUUUGAUUUUUCAUAAGAACCAUGUAAUGUAGUCAUGUUUCAAAAAAUUAUACACUGAGAAAUUAGUAGUUAGAUGACCUCUAACGAACAUUGACAACAUCUGUAUUUUUCUUUCUAAUAACUAAGAAGAAGAAAAUAGCUGUACAAACUCAACUUUCUCACUCUUUGCUUCACUUCCUUUGAGAUGUCAAAGUAAUGUAUUGUGAUUAUCUUUUCAAUUUCAUGGAAGCUGGGAAGAGAAAGACAUUCACCAAAGUAGAUACAAGGUAGACCCAGAAGUGGAAGGCAGAUAAGAAAGUUCUAAACAAACUCAGGAGGCCUCCGAGUACCUUUUUGGUAUUCCUGGACUUAAUACAAUUCCCUCUGGUCUUGGAAGUUCGAGGUCAUGGCUGAGGCAAUAACAUUAUGUUUAAUUCAAUAAUUUAUAUUAAAAUACUAACUUCUAAUGAUUUAGAGAUUCCUUUUUGAUACUUGGUAUACUGCUACUUAACUAAUAUGGAUGAAAGAAAGCAAGAGGGUCCGUUAUAUAUAUAUAUACCAACUUUGAUAUAGACUGGCCUCUGAAAAUUUCUUAAUUCCUAACAUGUAGAGAGAAUAUAACCUAUUAAUGUUUGUUAUAUUUUAAUCUUUAGCAUUGACAUGCUUCAAACCUUUGCUUCUUCCUUCAGCAAUGUUACAAAAAUAUGACGUUAAUAAAAAAACAGAAUUAAGAACUAGCCAAUAAUCAUAGAAAUACCUAUCUUUGUUGGCACAUUGACUGGUGCAGGCUGGCCCAUUCAUAGGUCUUGGGAUGGUAGCUUCUUUUCUGGUGGCAAUGGAAUAACCUACUGUAAGGUGAUGGUAUUGAUCACCAAAGAUAACCCAGGCUCAGUUUAUACCCACUUCCAACACCACAAAGCCGACAACUACGAACCAAGACAAUACCAAGCUCCACUUCCGAUUGCCAAUGAGAUAUUCCACUAUUGAGACCACAAAGGUAGAAGAAAUCUCAUUUAAUAUCACCACUUAGAUGGUAUCCACAAAGAGGCAGAAGAGUAGAAGAGAAAUCAUAGAAAACCAGCCAAGAGAGAGCGAGGGGUGAGACAUCUCUCACUUAGUGAGAAAAGAAGCCAAUUUAACCGUUUUACCAAUAGCCCAAAUAAGGUAAGUUUAAGUAGGUUAACUAAUGGGUUAGGCCAAAGGCCCAAAAGAUAGUUAAGUGGGCUCACAAGCUUUUCUCUCAAUUAAAUGCCAUCCAAGGGAGUGGAUUGAGCCACGAGCAACACUAAAGUAUUUAGGUUGCUUCGAGUGGCCCAAUUAACCUUUGGGUUGUAUCGUCUUGAAUGUGGUAUUGGAUUCCCGUUCAGUCAUUUGGCUAAACCGACUGAAAAAUUAAACCGAGUAACAUCAUAGCCCGAGGGAGGUCGUUUGACAACAAAUUUGUCUAACAACCUCCACCUUGGUGUCAAAGGACCUGCAAAAAGAAAACGCCUUCCAUUAGUAACACCUCUAAUAGAAAAUCGAUAAAAUUGGAAAUCAUUUACAUGUACCAAUGUUUAGAAGAUCCUUGCAACUUCUAAAUUUUACCAGUGGCAGCACCUUCGUGCUCAUAUCUAAAGGAUUGUAUUGUGUGUGAACUUUUUCAAGUUUCACCACCUCUUGAGAUACUAUAUCUCUAAUAAAGUGUAGUCUAACAUCAAUGUGUUUAGUGCGUUCGUGAAAAACAGGGUUCUUACAUAAAUGUAUGGAUGACUGACUAUCAAAAUACACAACCACACUCAUUCAAGACACAUAGUUCAUGAAGUAAACCUCUAAACCAUAAGGCCUCUUUAAUUGCUUCACUAGUAGCAAUAUACUCAGAUUCAGUGGUAGAUAGUGCAACAAUGUGUAGUAACUGUGAUUUUCAACUAACACAUGAAUUUGAUAAGGUAAACAUGUAAGAGGAAGUCGAUUUCCUACCAUCCCUAUCUCCCGCAUAAUCAGCAUCUACAAAAUCCUUCAAUUUCACACCUUUCUUAUUAACACUGAACUUUAAACCUACGUCACCCGUACCUUUCAAGUACCUUAGUAUUGACCUAUCUCUUUUUAUUUCCAUACCUAGAAUUCUCUUAGCCUUACCUAGGUCUUUCAUGUCAAAUUCACCACUUAGUUUUGCUUUUAUGCUGUUUAUCCACUUAGAAGAAUAACCAAUCAAAAACAUGUCGUCCACAUAGAGCAACAAAAAUAGAUAAUUAUUAUCAGUCUCGUUAUGUUGAAAAUAUAGGCAAUGAUCAAAUUUAUUUCUUUAGAACCCUAUGGUGAGUACAAAGGAAUCAAACAUCUUGUACUACUAUCUAGGUAAUUGUUUUAAGCCAUAUGGGGACCUUUUCAGAAAACACGCGUAAUCAAGUUUUGAUUUAUCCUUAAAACCUUUUGGUUGAUUCAUGAAUAUUUGUUCAUCAAACUCACCUGUAAAAAAGCAAUUUUUACAUCAAGUUGUUCAAGUUCCUAGUUAAAAUGCGCAACCAAAGCAAACAUGGCCCUAAUAGUGGUAUACUUAAUAACUCGUGAAAAAAUCUCAUUAUAAUCAACGCCAUCCUUUUAUGUGUAACCCUUAGCUACUAACCUAACUUUAAACUUUAAGGGUUCCGAACUACUAGUACCUUCCUUAAUCUUAAAAACUCAUUUGCAAUCGACGAUCGAUUUGUUUUUAGGUCUAGGUACCAGUUCCCAAGUCUGAUUCUUUUCUAGAGAACUCAUCUCUUCUUUCAUCGCCUUAAACCACUCCUUAGAUUGAUCACUACCUAUCAUUUCUUCAAAGGUUUUUGGCUCUUUAUCAGCUAGUUUUUCAUAACUAGCAUGGACAAAAGUUAUUUCAGAUUCAAAACCGAACCUUCUAGGUUCUCUCGUCUGUCUCCUCUCUCUAUCUCUAGCUAGAUUAUAAUUAGCUAAUGAAUUUUCUUCCUUAGGGUGUUCUUCUAUCACUACUUCGUUACUAUUUUCCACUUCAGGUUCCUGAACUUGAAUCUCCACCCCAUUAGAAGCAGUAGGGGUAGAUGUACUAAGUUUUCCUAACUCCACCUUAAAUUAGUCUCUCUCUUCACCUAGUUCAGUUUCACUCUCAGAUUCGGUUUCCCCUUUAAUACACGGCAUCUCAUUCUCGUUAAACGUGACAUCUCUACUUAUGAUAAUCCUAACCCCUUUUUGGCUUCUAUCCCAUAACCUAUAACCCUUAAUACCCUCGGGG
RNAcentral lists this long non-coding RNA (3613 nucleotides) under Olea europaea subsp. europaea. Lineage: Eukaryota; Viridiplantae; Streptophyta; Magnoliopsida; Lamiales; Oleaceae. The record is from RNAcentral.